Molecule: unclassified non-coding RNA, 339 nt
Filed under: soil metagenome
Description: partial contains 5.8S ribosomal RNA, internal transcribed spacer 2, and large subunit ribosomal RNA
Rfam family: 5.8S ribosomal RNA (bases 1-120)
Source: RNAcentral
GAUGAAGAACGUAGUGAAAUGCGAUAACUAAUGUGAAUUGCAGAAUUCAGUGAAUCAUCGAGUCUUUGAACGCACAUUGCGCCCCCUGGUAUUCCGGGGGGCAUGCCUGUCCGAGCGUCAUUGCUGCCCUCAAGCACGGCUUGUGUGUUGGGCUCCGUCCCCCCGGGGACGGGCCCGAAAGGCAGCGGCGGCACCGAGUCCGGUCCUCGAGCGUAUGGGGCUUUGUCCCCCGCUCUGUAGGCCCGGCCGGCGCCAGCCGACAACCCAUCAUCCUUUUCAGGUUGACCUCGGAUCAGGUAGGGAUACCCGCUGAACUUAAGCAUAUCAAUAAGCGGAGGA